Molecule: ribosomal RNA, 405 nt
Filed under: uncultured bacterium
Lineage: Bacteria
Description: partial 16S ribosomal RNA
Rfam family: Bacterial small subunit ribosomal RNA
Source: RNAcentral
AUUGAACGCUGGCGGCAGGCUUAACACAUGCAAGUCGAACGAGUGGCGGACGGGUGAGUAGUGCUUGGGCAUCUAGCUUAUGGAGGGGGAUCACUAGGGGACACUGUAGCUAAUCCCGCGUCCCAUAGGAUGAGCCCAAGUGGGAUUAGGUAGUUGGUGAGGUAAAGGAUCACCAAGCCGACGAGCUCUAGCUGGUCUGAGAGGAUGAACAGCCAAACGGGGACGGGGACAAGGCCCAGACUCGUACGGGAGGGAGCGGUGGGGAAUAUUGGGCAAUGGGGGCAACCUGACGCAGCCAUGCCGCGUGAAGGAAGAAGGGCAUCGGGUUGUAAAGGUCUUUCGGUAGUGAGGCGUUAACUAAAGAAGAAGCACCGGCUAACUCCGUGCCAGCAGCCGCGGUAAUUC